RNAcentral lists this ribosomal RNA (495 nucleotides) under uncultured bacterium. Its description in RNAcentral is "partial 16S ribosomal RNA". It matches the Rfam family "Bacterial small subunit ribosomal RNA", at positions 28 to 507 of the family's 1533-position model. The record is from RNAcentral.
GACGAACGCUGGCGGCGUGCCUAAUACAUGCAAGUCGAACGCUGAAGGAGGAGAUUGCUUCUCUGGAUGAGUUGCGAACGGGUGAGUAACGCGUAGGUAACCUGCCUGGUAGCGGGGGAUAACUAUUGGAAACGAUAGCUAAUACCGCAUAAGAGUAGAUGUCGCAUGACAUUUGCUUAAAAGGUGCAAUUGCAUCACUACCAGAUGGACCUGCGUUGUAUUAGGUAGUUGGUGAGGUAACGGCUCACCAAGGCAACGAUACAUAGCCGACCGGAGAGGGGGGUCCGCCAACCUGGGAACGGGGACACGCCCAGACUCCUUCGGGAGGGAGCAGUAGGGGAACUUUGGGAAUGGGCGGAAGUCUGAACGGGCAACGCCGCGUGAGGGAAGAAGGUUUUCGGAUCGUAAAGAUCUGUUGUAAGAGAAGAACGAGUGUGAGAGUGGAAAGUUCACAUUGUGACGGUAUCUAACCAGAAAGGGACGGCUAACUACGUG